CUGCCUCUGUGGAUAUGGUUUUGCUCUGUGUGAGGAGCACUUCCUGCUGUUCCAUUGCUGCUCUCUAGAUUUGGCCAGUCAUGAAGUUGUGAAGUGCAGAAAAUAACAGUAAAUGGGUCCAUCUGCAUUGGAAAGCAGGAAUGGAAGAGCCUUGGCCUUAUCCCCUGUUGAGAUGCAGCAUGCAGAGGAAGAGGCCAGCACAGUCAGACUAGAUGUCUGUGCCAGCCAUGGCUACUCUCUGGACCUAGAAGGAAGGCAAGAACUGUGCCUCCAAGUUGCUGAAUGCUUUCUUUGGCAAAACUGAAAAACAGCCCCUUAAGAAAUAGCUACCCUGUGUGCUGAAAGUUUGGUUUUGUAACAAGAUAGUGAAAUAGAUUCUAUUGCCUCUCUCGCUGUAGAAAUAUGA
Molecule: long non-coding RNA, 406 nt
Organism: Aquila chrysaetos chrysaetos
Lineage: Eukaryota; Metazoa; Chordata; Aves; Accipitriformes; Accipitridae
Exons: 3
Source: RefSeq, a predicted model, not a curated record